RNAcentral lists this long non-coding RNA (393 nucleotides) under Lathyrus oleraceus (garden pea). RNAcentral describes it as "Pisum sativum (pea) long non-coding RNA (PSAT_LNC032814)". Lineage: Eukaryota; Viridiplantae; Streptophyta; Magnoliopsida; Fabales; Fabaceae. The record is from RNAcentral.
AAUAUUUAUUUUAGUUUCUUAAGUUAUUUAUUUUGUUUAUUUAAGUAGAUUAAUUGGUUAAUUUACACUUUUUUCUUAGUUAUAAUUAUGAUUAAUAUACAAAAAUACCAAAAAUGUUUUUCUUUUUAUUUAAAUUAACAAAAUACAAAAGCACGUUUUAUUAUUAUUAGGUUAUUUAAAUGAUUAAGAAAAACACAAAAUAGGGAUUUAUGUUCAUUUAAUAAAAAAAUAAAAAAUAAUGUAUCUCUUUUUUUUAAAAAAAAUUCGGAUGAAAAGACUUCUUGGGUGUAUCUCUUUGUAAGUCCCCGAGCAUUCGAAUACAAGUAGUAUCGAUUGGGCAGUCGAAUAUUCGUCUUUCACCAUAAAAUCAACCUCAAACACAAUAAGUUAAUC